Molecule: ribosomal RNA, 497 nt
Filed under: uncultured bacterium
Lineage: Bacteria
Description: partial 16S ribosomal RNA
Rfam family: Bacterial small subunit ribosomal RNA
Source: RNAcentral
GAUGAACGCUGGCGGCGUGCCUAAUACAUGCAAGUCGAGCGAACAGACGAGGAGCUUGCUCCUCUGACGUUAGCGGCGGACGGGUGAGUACCACGUGGAUAACCUACCUAUAAGACUGGGAUAACUUCGGGAAACCGGAGCUAAUACCGGAUAAUAUAUUGAACCGCAUGGUUCAAUAGUGAAGGACGGUUUUGCUGUCACUUAUAGAUGGAUCCGCGCCGCAUUAGCUAGUUGGUAAGGUAACGGCUUACCAAGGCGACGAUGCGUAGCCGACCUGAGAGGGUGAUCGGCCACACUGGAACUGAGACACGGUCCAGACUCCUACGGGAGGCAGCAGUAGGGAAUCUUCCGCAAAGGGCGAAAGCCUGACGGAGCAACGCCGCGUGAGUGAUGAAGGUCUUCGGAUCGUAAAACUCUGUUAUUAGGGAAGAACAAAUGUGUAAGUAACUAUGCACGUCUUGACGGUACCUAAUCAGAAAGCCACGGCUAACUACGUG